Non-coding RNA from Equus caballus (horse), 770 nucleotides. The record is from RefSeq and is a predicted model, not a curated record. NCBI's taxonomy places the organism in Eukaryota, Metazoa, Chordata, Mammalia, Perissodactyla, Equidae.
GAGCGUUCCCACACCCCCCACGCCGCUCGUGCCUCGCCGCUGAGCACCGCCACGCCCCCUGCACCACCCCGGCGCAUGCGCCCUCGGCCCGUAAGGCCGCACAAACCCGGGGCGCUUUCUUCCCAGGUGUGAGCUCGGCAGGGAGACCGAGGCGGGAUGACUGCGGGCUAGAGAGGCAAGAGGCGAGCUGAGGGCCGGGCCCGCGAGGGGUCCGCGGGGCCUCGGGUCCGGACAGGUAACGGACCCGGGAGUAGGGGCUCGGCCGCCGCUGCCGCAGUCUGUAGCGCUCCGGAACGAGGCCACCCCGCCGCCUUUCCUUCCUUCUCUGCGUGCCUGCUUCCCUUGUCCGGUAGGGGUGACAGGGUGAGCUUGGUUUAUUGAGCACCGGCUCCACACCGCGACCGCCCCCAGGGGGAGUUAGUUACACUAACAAGUCAACUUCUACAGUAUGGCACUGUCAGCUCAAGAGACUGUCAGAAAUAACUGCAUACUCCAGAGAUGUUCUUUGCCUGUUUCCUCACUGCUCUGGUUCAGUGGAUGAGUUCAGUUCAGUUCAUCUAUUAAGUCUCCAGCACACUCAGUGGUGGGCCCCAGAGCCUUCGACCGCUUAGUUUGGCAGCUGCAGCUAAUCUAGCUCAUCACUACACCGUUUUCUCUCAUCUCUAGGAGACAGUUAAUCUGUUACAGUCAUUCUUAGGAUUCUCACAAGAUUUGUGAUGGCUCUUGCAAUUUUCUUCUAAAAAUCUGAUAAAAGCUCUAUGAAGUAUGAA